GUGCUCGCUUCGGCAGCACAUAUACUAAAAUUGGAACGAUACAGAGAAGAUCAAAACAGAACUUUUUUUAAAAAAAAAAAAAUUCCUGAUUAGU
This is a non-coding RNA of Podarcis lilfordi (Lilford's wall lizard), 94 nucleotides long. The record is from the annotation of a GenBank genome assembly. NCBI's taxonomy places the organism in Eukaryota, Metazoa, Chordata, Lepidosauria, Squamata, Lacertidae.